UACGAAGGGAGCUAGCGUUGUUCGGAAUCACUGGGCGUAAAGCGCACGUAGGCGGAUGUGUCAGUCAGGGGUGAAAUCCCGGAGCUCAACUUCGGAACUGCCUUUGAUACAGCACGUCUUGAGUUCGGGAGAGGGAUGCGGAAUUCCAGGUGUAGCGGUGAAAUGCGUAGAUAUCUGGAGGAACACCGGUGGCGAAGGCGGCAUCCUGGACCGAUACUGACACUGAGGAGCGAAAGCCAGGGGAGCAAACGGG
This 253-nucleotide ribosomal RNA is filed under the name uncultured bacterium. Its description in RNAcentral is "partial 16S ribosomal RNA". It matches the Rfam family "Bacterial small subunit ribosomal RNA", at positions 524 to 776 of the family's 1533-position model. The record is from RNAcentral.